This 375-nucleotide ribosomal RNA is filed under the name uncultured bacterium. RNAcentral describes it as "bacterial SSU rRNA". It matches the Rfam family "Bacterial small subunit ribosomal RNA", at positions 524 to 898 of the family's 1533-position model. The record is from RNAcentral.
UACGUAGGGAGCAAGCGUUGCCCGGAUUUACUGGGUGUAAAGGGUGCGUAGGCGGCUUUACAAGUCAGGCGUGAAAUAUAUGGGCUUAACCCAUAGACUGCGUUUGAAACUGUAGAGCUUGAGUGAAGUAGAGGUAGGCGGAAUUCCCGGUGUAGCGGUGAAAUGCGUAGAGAUCGGGAGGAACACCAGUGGCGAAGGCGGCCUACUGGGCUUUAACUGACGCUGAGGCACGAAAGCAUGGGUAGCAAACAGGAUUAGAUACCCUGGUAGUCCAUGCCGUAAACGAUGAUUACUAGGUGUGGGGGGUCUGACCCCUUCCGUGCCGGAGUUAACACAAUAAGUAAUCCACCUGGGGAGUACGGCCGCAAGGUUGAA